This 592-nucleotide ribosomal RNA is filed under the name uncultured bacterium. RNAcentral's name for it is "bacterial SSU rRNA". It matches the Rfam family "Bacterial small subunit ribosomal RNA", at positions 328 to 924 of the family's 1533-position model. The record is from RNAcentral.
ACUAGUGAUUCUUACUGUAGGCAGCAGUGAGGGAUAUUGCGCAAUGGGGGAAACCCUGACGCAGCGACGCCGCGUGGGUGAUGAAGGUCUUCGGAUUGUAAAACCCUUUUGCCAUUGACGAGAACGGACGGUAGAUGGCGAAUAAGCCUCGGCUAACUACGUGCCAGCAGCCGCGGUAAAACGUAGGAGGCGAGCGUUAUCCGGAGUUACUGGGCGUAAAGCGUGCGUAGGCGGUUUUGUAAGUGGGACGUGAAAGCACCGUGCUAAACGCGGUGAGGACGACUCAGACUGCGAGACUAGAGCGGCUCAGAGGCGCGUGGAAUUCGGGGUGUAGCGGUGAAACUGUGUAGAGAUCCCGAGGAACCACCAGUGGGGCAACCGGCGCGCUGGGAGCAGGCUGACGCUGAGGCACGAAAGCGUGGGGAGCAAACGGGACUUAGAGACCCCGGUAGUCCCACGCCGUAAACGCAUGUCACACUAGGUGUCUGCGAAGGGAAACUGGAGUGGGUGCCAAAGCCACACGCGGUAAGUUGACCGCCUGGGGAGUACGGUCGUCAAGGCUAACACUCAAAGGCAAUUGACGGCAUCCCGC